GACGAACGCUGGCGGCGUGCCUAACACAUGCAAGUCGAGCGGAGGUACUUGAGGAGUAAUCUGAGGGUACUUUAGCGGCGGACGGGUGAGUAACGCGUGAGCAACCUGCCUUUCACAGGGGGAUAAGGCGGCGAAAGCCGCUCUAAUACCGCAUGAGACCACGGGGAUGAUAUUCCAGGGGUCAAAGGAGCAAUCCGGUGAGAGAUGGGCUCGCGUCCGAUUAGGUAGUUGGUGAGGUAACGGCCCACCAAGCCAAUGAUCGGUAGCCGGCCUGAGAGGGUGAACGGCCACAUUGGAACUGAGAGACGGUCCAAACUCCUACGGGAGGCAGCAGUGGGGAAUAUUGGGCAAUGGGGGAAACCCUGACCCAGCAACGCCGCGUGAGGGAAGAAGGUUUUCGGAUUGUAAACCUCUGUUCUUGGAGAAGAGAAGAAGACGGUAUCCAAAGGAGGAAAGCCCCGGCUAACUACGUG
This 473-nucleotide ribosomal RNA is filed under the name uncultured bacterium. RNAcentral's name for it is "bacterial SSU rRNA". It matches the Rfam family "Bacterial small subunit ribosomal RNA", at positions 28 to 507 of the family's 1533-position model. The record is from RNAcentral.